RNAcentral lists this ribosomal RNA (479 nucleotides) under uncultured bacterium. Its description in RNAcentral is "bacterial SSU rRNA". It matches the Rfam family "Bacterial small subunit ribosomal RNA", at positions 1 to 467 of the family's 1533-position model. The record is from RNAcentral.
UAGAGUUUGAUCAUGGCUCAGAACAAACGCUGGCGGCGUGCCUAACACAUGCAAGUCGUACGAGAAAUACCUGGCUUGCCAGGUAGAGUACAGUGGCGCACGGGUGAGUAACGCGUGGGUAAUCUACCCCCAAGACUGGGAUAACCCACCGAAAGGUGGACUAAUACCGGAUAAGCUCACGGCCCCUCGGGGCUGGGAGAAAAGCGGCCCUCUACAUGUAAGGUCGUACUUGGGGACGAGCCCGCGUCCCAUUAGCUUGUUGGUGAGGUAAGAGCUCACCAAGGCGACGAUGGGUAGCUGGUCUGAGAGGAUGAUCAGCCACACUGGGACUGGAACACGGCCCAGACUCCUACGGGAGGCAGCAGUGGGGAAUCUUGCGCAAUGGGGGAAACCCUGACGCAGCAACGCCGCGUGGGUGAAGAAGGGCCUCGGCUCGUAAAGCCCUGUCAGGUGGGAAGAAAUGGUCGGGAACCAAUAAU